Molecule: ribosomal RNA, 451 nt
Filed under: uncultured bacterium
Lineage: Bacteria
Description: partial 16S ribosomal RNA
Rfam family: Bacterial small subunit ribosomal RNA
Source: RNAcentral
GGCGAACGCUGGCGGCAGGCUUAACACAUGCAAGUCGAGCGGGCAUAGCAAUAUGUCAGCGGCAGACGGGUGAGUAACGCGUGGGAACGUACCUUUUGGGUCGGAACAACUGAGGGAAACUUCAGCUAAUACCGGAUAAGCCCUUACGGGGAAAGAUUUAUCGCCGAAAGAUCGGCCCGCGUCUGAUUAGCUAGUUGGUGAGGUAAUGACUCACCAAGGCGACGAUCAGUAGCUGGUCUGAGAGGAUGAUCAGCCACAUUGGGACUGAGACCCGGCCCAAACUCCUACGGGAGGCAGCAGUGGGGAAUAUUGGACAAUGGGCGCAAACCUGAUCCAGCCAUGCCGCGUGAGUGAUGAAGGCCCUAGGGUUGUAAAGCUCUUUUGCGCGGGAAGAUAAUGACGGUACCGCAAGAAUAAGCCCCGGCUAACUGCGUGCCAGCAGCCGCGGUAA